This 2173-nucleotide ribosomal RNA is filed under the name Escherichia coli. RNAcentral describes it as "bacterial LSU rRNA". It matches the Rfam family "Bacterial large subunit ribosomal RNA", at positions 14 to 2212 of the family's 2925-position model. Lineage: Bacteria; Pseudomonadati; Pseudomonadota; Gammaproteobacteria; Enterobacterales; Enterobacteriaceae. The record is from RNAcentral.
AGCGUACACGGUGGAUGCCCUGGCAGUCAGAGGCGAUGAAGGACGUGCUAAUCUGCGAUAAGCGUCGGUAAGGUGAUAUGAACCGUUAUAACCGGCGAUUUCCGAAUGGGGAAACCCAGUGUGUUUCGACACACUAUCAUUAACUGAAUCCAUAGGUUAAUGAGGCGAACCGGGGGAACUGAAACAUCUAAGUACCCCGAGGAAAAGAAAUCAACCGAGAUUCCCCCAGUAGCGGCGAGCGAACGGGGAGCAGCCCAGAGCCUGAAUCAGUGUGUGUGUUAGUGGAAGCGUCUGGAAAGGCGCGCGAUACAGGGUGACAGCCCCGUACACAAAAAUGCACAUACUGUGAGCUCGAUGAGUAGGGCGGGACACGUGGUAUCCUGUCUGAAUAUGGGGGGACCAUCCUCCAAGGCUAAAUACUCCUGACUGACCGAUAGUGAACCAGUACCGUGAGGGAAAGGCGAAAAGAACCCCGGCGAGGGGAGUGAAAAAGAACCUGAAACCGUGUACGUACAAGCAGUGGGAGCACGCUUAGGCGUGUGACUGCGUACCUUUUGUAUAAUGGGUCAGCGACUUAUAUUCUGUAGCAAGGUUAACCGAAUAGGGGAGCCGAAGGGAAACCGAGUCUUAACUGGGCGUUAAGUUGCAGGGUAUAGACCCGAAACCCGGUGAUCUAGCCAUGGGCAGGUUGAAGGUUGGGUAACACUAACUGGAGGACCGAACCGACUAAUGUUGAAAAAUUAGCGGAUGACUUGUGGCUGGGGGUGAAAGGCCAAUCAAACCGGGAGAUAGCUGGUUCUCCCCGAAAGCUAUUUAGGUAGCGCCUCGUGAAUUCAUCUCCGGGGGUAGAGCACUGUUUCGGCAAGGGGGUCAUCCCGACUUACCAACCCGAUGCAAACUGCGAAUACCGGAGAAUGUUAUCACGGGAGACACACGGCGGGUGCUAACGUCCGUCGUGAAGAGGGAAACAACCCAGACCGCCAGCUAAGGUCCCAAAGUCAUGGUUAAGUGGGAAACGAUGUGGGAAGGCCCAGACAGCCAGGAUGUUGGCUUAGAAGCAGCCAUCAUUUAAAGAAAGCGUAAUAGCUCACUGGUCGAGUCGGCCUGCGCGGAAGAUGUAACGGGGCUAAACCAUGCACCGAAGCUGCGGCAGCGACGCUGAUGCGUUGUUGGGUAGGGGAGCGUUCUGUAAGCCUGCGAAGGUGUGCUGUGAGGCAUGCUGGAGGUAUCAGAAGUGCGAAUGCUGACAUAAGUAACGAUAAAGCGGGUGAAAAGCCCGCUCGCCGGAAGACCAAGGGUUCCUGUCCAACGUUAAUCGGGGCAGGGUGAGUCGACCCCUAAGGCGAGGCCGAAAGGCGUAGUCGAUGGGAAACAGGUUAAUAUUCCUGUACUUGGUGUUACUGCGAAGGGGGGACGGAGAAGGCUAUGUUGGCCGGGCGACGGUUGUCCCGGUUUAAGCGUGUAGGCUGGUUUUCCAGGCAAAUCCGGAAAAUCAAGGCUGAGGCGUGAUGACGAGGCACUACGGUGCUGAAGCAACAAAUGCCCUGCUUCCAGGAAAAGCCUCUAAGCAUCAGGUAACAUCAAAUCGUACCCCAAACCGACACAGGUGGUCAGGUAGAGAAUACCAAGGCGCUUGAGAGAACUCGGGUGAAGGAACUAGGCAAAAUGGUGCCGUAACUUCGGGAGAAGGCACGCUGAUAUGUAGGUGAAGCGACUUGCUCGUGGAGCUGAAAUCAGUCGAAGAUACCAGCUGGCUGCAACUGUUUAUUAAAAACACAGCACUGUGCAAACACGAAAGUGGACGUAUACGGUGUGACGCCUGCCCGGUGCCGGAAGGUUAAUUGAUGGGGUCAGCGCAAGCGAAGCUCUUGAUCGAAGCCCCGGUAAACGGCGGCCGUAACUAUAACGGUCCUAAGGUAGCGAAAUUCCUUGUCGGGUAAGUUCCGACCUGCACGAAUGGCGUAAUGAUGGCCAGGCUGUCUCCACCCGAGACUCAGUGAAAUUGAACUCGCUGUGAAGAUGCAGUGUACCCGCGGCAAGACGGAAAGACCCCGUGAACCUUUACUAUAGCUUGACACUGAACAUUGAGCCUUGAUGUGUAGGAUAGGUGGGAGGCUUUGAAGUGUGGACGCCAGUCUGCAUGGAGCCGACCUUGAAAUACCACCCUUUAAUG